RNAcentral lists this small RNA (578 nucleotides) under Pan troglodytes (chimpanzee). RNAcentral's name for it is "processed transcript". The record is from RNAcentral. Lineage: Eukaryota; Metazoa; Chordata; Mammalia; Primates; Hominidae.
AAUUUUUGUAUUUUUAGUAGAGACGGGGUUUCAGCAUGUUGGUUAGGCUGGUCUUGAACUCCUGACCUCGUGAUCCGCCCUCCUCGGCCUCCCAAAGUGCCGGGAUUACAGGCGUGAGCCACUGCUCCCGGCGUUUGGGUUUUUUAAGCUAUUCAAAUUAAGUAGACUGGAAUCUGGAGCAGUGUGUGUGACAACCCCUCUGCACACCCAACUUUCCCCGGGCCGGCUAGUGACUCAAAGCGACAGCCCAGAUUUAAGAAAACGAAACCUAGUGCAGCUGGGGCACUUCCGGGAUCUCGCUAUCCGGCCGCCACCCGCAGCUGCAGCACAGUCAUGGCCCAGGCGUCGCCGCCCCGGCCCGAGAGGGUGCUCGGCGCCAGCAGCCCGGAGGCCCAGCCCGCGCAGGAGGCGCUCCUCCUUCCCACCGCUGUAUUCUUCAGGACUUGUGGAAUGUGAGGAUCAGGAUCCACUUAAUCCUGAUAGAAGUUUUGAUGUGGAAUCAGUAAAGAAAGAAAUCCAGAGAGGAAGGAAGUUGAAAUGCAAAUUUUGUCAUAAAAGAGGAGCCACCGUGGGAUGUG